UACGUAGGGUGCGAGCGUUAAUCGGAAUUACUGGGCGUAAAGCGUGCGCAGGCGGCUUCGCAAGUCAGACGUGAAAUCCCCGGGCUUAACCUGGGAAUGGCGUUUGAAACUACGGAGCUGGAGUGUGGCAGAGGGAGGUAGAAUUCCACGUGUAGCGGUGAAAUGCGUAGAUAUGUGGAGGAAUACCGAUGGCGAAGGCAGCCUCCUGGGCCGACACUGACGCUCAUGCACGAAAGCGUGGGGAGCAAACAGG
RNAcentral lists this ribosomal RNA (253 nucleotides) under uncultured bacterium. RNAcentral describes it as "partial 16S ribosomal RNA". It matches the Rfam family "Bacterial small subunit ribosomal RNA", at positions 524 to 776 of the family's 1533-position model. The record is from RNAcentral.